Long non-coding RNA from Betta splendens (Siamese fighting fish), 1302 nucleotides. RefSeq lists it as uncharacterized. NCBI's taxonomy places the organism in Eukaryota, Metazoa, Chordata, Actinopteri, Anabantiformes, Osphronemidae. The transcript has 3 exons. The record is from RefSeq and is a predicted model, not a curated record.
UUCAAAAGGAUUUUUGGUAUUCAGUGUGUAAACCACACUUCAAUGGUCAGUGUGGUAAUAAAGUGUGAACAUACUCAACAUCAACUUACUGUGAUGCUGGUUUCAGUGUUCGUGAUAAAGAGUCGUUACAUUUGCUCUGUUCUUCAAUUGUUUCCAUCAAUCUGCCAGCAGGGGGAGAGCAGGAAAUGCAGAAACGUCUGAUGUGACGACAAAGGAAGAAAAAGCCGUGGAGCUCCACUACACCACAACUAAAAGUGGAAGACCUGCCCAUGAACCAACGCCUCCUGACAGAGACAGCGAGGACAAAGAUGAGCCGGACUAUGAAAAUGAACGCUACACUGAUGAUCCUGUGUAUGGCAACAUGGAGGUAAGUGCAGCCUCAUUCAGUCAUUAUGUCCACGCACUAAAUGUAAAACUGAACUCAUCAUGUUUCCUACACAGAAAGACUUUGAUGACACCAUAUAUGCCAACACGUAGCAUCACUCGCUUCACUGGAGGAGCAGCUGCCCGUUGUCUGACUGAUGUGAGAAGUUUGUUGUUUAGUUUUAGAAUGAAAGCAUAUGUUUUGGUAUAGUUCCUCUUCUCUUUCCUGUUUUUUUAAUAAGUGCAAGAUACUGUAGAUAGAAGAUAUGUGUUUUAUAUAACCAUAUCAUAGUGAUAUAACUGCAUCUUAUAAUUUUAUAAACCAGAUGGGAUUUAGUUAAUGCAGCAUCUCAAGGACAUCAAGGAUGGGAACAUCUGGUGAACUUUAAGAUAAAACCCACCAUUCUCGUCUUUCUUCUUCUUCAUAUUAUUAUUAUUAUCUUAUUAAAUAUUACAAAUCCCCAAACUUUUCUUUUAUCUGGGCAUUAAUCAAACCAAAGCUCCAGCUAAUAAUUCUCCUUUUUCUCAAACAGCUGACUAACAAUGCAGAGCUCAAACAACAACCGCAUACAUAGAAAUCGUGAGGUUUCUGGUAAGUGGUGGUGAGCGUAGGUCGACCAAAAUAAAAUAGCAGAAGUUAUCAUAUACGGAAGAAACCCUUUUGAUAAAAAAAAGAUGAGAUCCACCUUUGAAAGCAAGCAAAAAUAAAAGUUAAGAGCUAUGUGAUUUGCAACUUGUUAGAGGGUCUUUUAAAGUUGAAUAGUGUAGAUUAGUGUCAUAAAUGUAUAUUUUUGUGCAUUUUGAUUAUUAUUGCUCACUUGAAAUAAAGGCUGUCACUUAAAUCAUUAUUGAUUAUUGAUUUUAAUAAACAAAGCUGUAUGUGGAUAAUGAGGUGUGAAAUGUUAGAGACCAGAAAUUCAUCCUCCAGCUUGGUUUCUC